Long non-coding RNA from Magnolia sinica, 452 nucleotides. RefSeq lists it as uncharacterized. The transcript has 3 exons. The record is from RefSeq and is a predicted model, not a curated record. NCBI's taxonomy places the organism in Eukaryota, Viridiplantae, Streptophyta, Magnoliopsida, Magnoliales, Magnoliaceae.
UUACAACACAUUUCUAUAUGCUUUGUUAGUCAUCUUUCUUCUUAAUGAUUUAAUUUUUCUUAAGCUUCACUUUAUCAGCAUAGCUAGACGUUAAUGAAAUUGACUUGAGGAAAUACAUUCCCAUGCGGCAGGUAGAAUUAUCCAAAGAAAGGCUUUUAAUUUGGGGAGGUUCUUCUGAUGUCCCUGCAAUUGGAAGUGAACUGGACGAGCAACAAUAGGACCUCUGAACCUCUAUCGGGAGGGCGAUAACUGACUCAAAUUCAGGAUUUUAAUCAAUUGUGCCUAAAUUUAGGCCUACAAGCACUUCAGCCUUUUGACGUCACUCGUGCUAUGAGUAGACCAUAUAGAGGAUUUGCUUUUAUUUAUUUAUUUAUUUGAGACCAUUUUUAAUUUAUUGUAAUAAAUAUUAUAUUUUUUUAUUAAGAAGUAAUAUAAAUUUUAUUUAAUAUUCA